CAAAUUGAAACAUUAUAUUCAUGUCAUCUCAUAGCAUCACAUUGGGGCAAAUACUAUGUUUAAUCCCUGUGGUAGGAUUAUAAAUCACCAUUAUACACGUGGUUGGGCCG
Long non-coding RNA from Juglans microcarpa x Juglans regia, 110 nucleotides. RefSeq lists it as uncharacterized. The record is from RefSeq and is a predicted model, not a curated record. Lineage: Eukaryota; Viridiplantae; Streptophyta; Magnoliopsida; Fagales; Juglandaceae. The transcript has 2 exons.